Mobula hypostoma (lesser devil ray) is the source of this 1380-nucleotide long non-coding RNA. RefSeq lists it as uncharacterized. The record is from RefSeq and is a predicted model, not a curated record. Lineage: Eukaryota; Metazoa; Chordata; Chondrichthyes; Myliobatiformes; Myliobatidae. The transcript is spliced from 5 exons.
CGGCGAUGUGCAGACCUCCGCCACGGGUGGUGCUGCGGCGAAUAUCCUGCUGACCGUCGGCCCGGUGCCCAUCACAGUUGUCGCCGGCGGUUCUGCUAUCGGGGAGGUGGUCUAAAGCCGUGUGAAGAGCCAUGGAGAUUGCGUCUGCCGUUGACCUAUUGUGACGACAGGCAAAUUGCAGUGGGUCCAGGUCCUUGCAGAGGCGGGAGUUCAUUUCAGUCAUAACCAACCUCCCAAAGCAUUUCCUCACUGUCGAUAGCGGCGCAGGCUGAGGUGAGACUGGAUGAACGUUUAUAAGAUUACGAGAGGAAUAGAUAGAGUGGACAGACGAUAUAUUUCUCCUGGGCGUUGAACUGUCUAACACAUUUAAGUUAGACCUGUGGUGAGAGAUUUAUUGGAAGAAAAACCCCAACUGGAAGCAAACCACGACUGAAGACGAGGGAACAGCAACAAGUGAACCAGCCCGAGGAUUGAGAGCAUCAACUGGAGAGGACCCAUCUGACUCGGAGAAUCCAGUGAUUCCGUCAGGAGAAAGUUUGGAUUCCCGAUGCCAAAAAUAAACAGUUUAAAUCGACUGACCUUAAAUUCCUUUUAGAGAGAGAGAGAGCCUUUGUACAUGAACUCAUUGUGCUUUUACAAGAGUUAUCUCGAUGCAGCUUCUCUUCAACGAAGACUCAAUUAGGUCGAUCCUUUAUUAAACUGCCAACCGAUGCCGACUUCUCUCGAUCCUUCACUUCGAUGAAUUCUUCACUCUCCCUUCAAAACUGUCCAAAUUGAGUAAAUUGGCACUUCCAGCCACAAAUUCCCAGCUCAAAUACAAUAUCUUGUAAGAGAAUGCACCGUCCGUUUUAAAAAUGAAACUACGUCACGAAAACAACCACGCAACAGAAGUGGAGGCACAACACGUCCUACCUGGAAAUCUACAAACUCAAAAACCCACUGCAUCACCUGAGUCGACCCUUAUAUAGUCACGGGUCACGUGUCAUCACAUGACCUCACAACGGCGGGAAAAUCACAUCAGGUGACCAUUACAUCAUUCUCACAAAAACCACAGAUCUCCUUGAGCAUGUAAUACCUCCCUCCAAAAAAAAAAAUUUUGGUCUCUUGAAGAACAAAAAUUUAACAAUUUAUACAAAAAAAAUACUAAGGUAUAAAAUUUACAAAAUGCACGAUAUACGAUAUAUAUAAUCUUAUCUUUCAGCCCUUUACAAACUAAUGUACAGUAGGGGUGUUACAAAUGAUAAAAUAUCACUCCAAAAAAAAACAAAUUUUCAUUGUACAUUUAACAUCUAGACAAACAGUCAGCAAUCACAUUGUCUUUACCCUUGAUAUGAGUGAUCAAAAUAUUGUACUCCUGUAACAUUAAACUGGAUUAUUAAA